UGAGAACUCCGAAGAAAUGGAAUCCAAACUCCCCUUACAUCCCGUUUCGGUUUUUCAUGAAGGAAUUCUCGAAAACCUUCCCUCCAUCUGACAUUGAUUUGGUCUCAAAGUAUUAUAAAGCUUACAAAGAGAGAAGGAUGUCAAAGCAGCUGCUAGUACGAAUAGUCAGGAAAAUCACUGGUGAUAGGUGGCUAAUUGGAAUCAUCAACAGUUUCCGAGCUAAGUAUUAUCGGGCGUGAAGCGGGUGAUCGUGGGACCAGGGACGGACUUGAAUAAGAUUUGGAUGCGGG
This is a long non-coding RNA of Eucalyptus grandis, 290 nucleotides long. RefSeq lists it as uncharacterized. NCBI's taxonomy places the organism in Eukaryota, Viridiplantae, Streptophyta, Magnoliopsida, Myrtales, Myrtaceae. The transcript has 3 exons. The record is from RefSeq and is a predicted model, not a curated record.